GAUCCCUUUUUUUUUGUUUCAUAUUUAUUUGUUUUUACAUUUUUUUAGGACAAUCGGGUGUCUUGGGAGCUAAAUAAAGGUAGAAAAAUAUAUCCAGUUUUAGAGAGCCUAUUAAGCUGUUGGGCCAUUUUGGCUCAUUUCUAAAUUCCAAAAAAAAAAAAUCGGGCCUGUCGGGUCGGGCCUGGGACCAGAUUUAUAAGAUUGGGUCGGGCCUGGACAAAAAUUUAAGCCCGACAGUCGGGCCGGGCCGGGUCUAGGCAUAGCCAUCGGGCCUAAUUUCUGCUGUAGAGCCCGGCCCGGGCCCGGCCCCAGCCCGGCUCGGCCCGGGUUUUGAUCAGCUCUAAUUCCCAGUGAUCUUAAAAAUCUCCGUCCAUGGCUCUGUAAAGGACCUGGCUCGGGCCGGGCUCUGCAGUAGAAGUUAAGUUCGUUGCUUUUGCCCAAGCCUGGCUCGGCACAAAUAUCGCGCUUACAUUUGUGCCUGUUAGGGCUGCAAAUGGGUUGGGUCGACCCGUGAUCCGAUCCGACCCGACCCGACCCGCUUAAGAUCCGACCCGACCU
Molecule: long non-coding RNA, 558 nt
Filed under: Phoenix dactylifera (date palm)
Lineage: Eukaryota; Viridiplantae; Streptophyta; Magnoliopsida; Arecales; Arecaceae
Description: long non-coding RNA (PDAC_LNC021762)
Source: RNAcentral